This 253-nucleotide ribosomal RNA is filed under the name uncultured bacterium. RNAcentral describes it as "partial 16S ribosomal RNA". It matches the Rfam family "Bacterial small subunit ribosomal RNA", at positions 524 to 776 of the family's 1533-position model. The record is from RNAcentral.
UACGAAGGGGGCUAGCGUUGCUCGGAAUCACUGGGCGUAAAGCGCACGUAGGCGGACUCUUAAGUCGGUGGUGAAAUCCUGGAGCUCAACUCCAGAACUGCCUUCGAUACUGGGAGUCUCGAGUUCGGGAGAGGUGAGUGGAACUGCGAGUGUAGAGGUGAAAUUCGUAGAUAUUCGCAAGAACACCAGUGGCGAAGGCGGCUCACUGGCUCGGUACUGACGCUGAGGUGCGAAAGCGUGGGGAGCAAACAGG